This 253-nucleotide ribosomal RNA is filed under the name uncultured bacterium. RNAcentral's name for it is "partial 16S ribosomal RNA". It matches the Rfam family "Bacterial small subunit ribosomal RNA", at positions 524 to 776 of the family's 1533-position model. The record is from RNAcentral.
UACAGAGGUCUCAAGCGUUGUUCGGAUUCAUUGGGCGUAAAGGGUGCGUAGGUGGCGCCGUAAGUCGGGUGUGAAAUUUCGGAGCUUAACUCCGAAACUGCAUUCGAUACUGCGGUGCUUGAGGACUGGAGAGGAGACUGGAAUUCAUGGUGUAGCAGUGAAAUGCGUAGAGAUGCGGAGGAACACCGAUGGCGAAGGCAGCCCCCUGGGCUAGCACUGACGCUCAUGCACGAAAGCGUGGGGAGCAAACAGG